This 240-nucleotide unclassified non-coding RNA is filed under the name soil metagenome. RNAcentral's name for it is "partial contains 5.8S ribosomal RNA, internal transcribed spacer 2, and large subunit ribosomal RNA". The record is from RNAcentral.
AACCUAGCACACCUGCGGUGUGUACCUGCGGAGGGAUCAUUACUGCUUGCUUACGACGUCUCUCUGGGAAACCAGGGCGGCGUUGGGCAUGCCACCCUUGUCUAUUUAUACCAUUUGUUACUUCCCUCGGCGGGGCGACCCGCCGCUGGGGACAACCAAACCCUCUUGUAUUAAGCAUCGAAAAUCUGAACAAAGUCAAAAUAAUUACAACUUUCAACAACGGAUCUCAGAUCGGAAGAG